CAAACAGAUUGCUACUUGUCUCAACUCAGUUUAUUAUUGAAUAGUACUUUCCCCAAUCAUUUAUAUUACUAUUCUGUCAUAUACUAAGAUUCUAAAUAUGGUGGAAUCUGUUUCUGGGUAAUCUAGUCUUUAUCUCUAUGCCUAGGCCAGUACUGUAGAGUUUUAUUUCCUAAAGCUUUAGAAUAAAUCUUGCUGUGUGAUAGGGCAAAUCUCUCCUCUUUAUUUUUAUUUUUCAGAAUUGUCUUCGGUUUUUAAAACCUUUACUCUUGCCUAUGAGUUUUAUUAUUAGUUAAAUUCCGGGCUGGGCACAGUGGCUCAUGCCAGUGAUCCCAGCACUUUGGGAGGCCAAGGUGGGCAGAUCACUGGAGGUAGGAGUUUGUGACCAGCCUUGUCAACAUAGUGAAAACCCCUUCUCUACUAAAAAUACAAAAAUUCACUGGGCUUUGUGGCACGUGCCUGUAAUCCCAGCUACUCAGGAGGCUGAGGCAGGAGAAUCACUUGAACCCAGGAGGCAGAGGUUGCAGUGAGCCAAGAUCACGCCAUUGCACUCCAGCCUGGGCGACAGAGUGAGACUCUGUCUCAAAAAAAAAAAAAAAAGUUCCACAAAAAAUCUUGUUGUGAUUUUGAUUGCUGUUAAAUGAAAUUAUAGUUUGGUGGCAAGUGAACAUUUUUAGCAUUGUUUUGUGAGAUGUUUAGCUUGUCAUUUAUUUAGAUUUUCUUUUUAAAAAUGUUACGUAAUGUUAAUUAUCACAAUUAAGAGAUAGGCACUAUAAUCUCCAGUAUAUAGAUUCUGUAGAAGAGCAAAUGACUAUAAGCCAAAGUCUGCCUGACUUUAGAGACCAUUUUGCCAGAUGUUAUUAUUUGUUCAAAAUAUUUUCUGCUCUUCUAGGAGAAUUACACUUUUUGCCCUAUCAGUAUAAGGCUAGGUCAUGUACUUUGCCAGGGCCAAUGAAAUGAGAGUAGAAGUAACAGUGUUGCUUUCCGGGAGAAGCUUUAGAAUCUCUGUAUAUUUCGCUGGUAGCUUCUUUUCCUUUACCAUAAAGUUAGGAUGUCUCAGAUGAGGGGGUGUCCUUCAGCCUGAGCCUUGCUUUGAUGUGGCUCUUGUUGGCUUUGCAUUCACUUGUGGUUCUGCAACCCCUUAACAGGCUUCUGGAGUUCUUACAAAGAUAAUUUGAUAUUGUUGUUAAGUUGGUUUUUCUGUGGGGGAAAUGAGAACCUGGGGCUUCCUAUCCCGCCAUCUUGCCGAUGUCAUUCCUAUUUAGAUCUUUUAUGUUAACACUUUUCAAUUCUUUUCAUUAUGGUCUUGGAUAUCUUCUGUUAUAGUUAUUUCUAUAGUCUUAUAGUUUUUGUUGCUAUUAUGAAUGGUAUUCAUUUUUUUCAACCCUACUGAAUUAAUCCCUUAUGAAUUUGGAUACUUUAUCUGUGGAUUCUUUUGGAUCCUCUAUAUGGGCACUUGAAACAUCUCUAAAUUAUGACAACUCCAUCUUUUCAAUCCUUAAAUGGCUUAAUUCUUCUCUUUUUUUUUUUUUUUGAGACAGAGUCUUACUCUGUUGCCCAGGCUGGAGUGCAGUGGUGCGAUGUCAGCUCACUGCAACCUCUACCUCCUGGGUUCAAGAGAUUUUCCUUCCUCAGCCUCCUGAGUAGCUGGGACUAUAGGCAUGUGCACCACAAUAGAGACAGAGUUUCAUUAUGUUGACCAGUCUGGUUUCGAACUCCUGACCUCAGGUGAUCUGCCUGUCUUGGCUUCCCAAACUGCUGGAAUUACUGGCAUGAGCUGCCAUGCCUGGCAUAUGGCUCAUUUCUUUUCCUUGUCAUAUUGUAUUGGGUAGAAUAGUACUAGUAUUAAAUAGAAUAGCAGGGGUAAUAUUAGGCAUCUGUGUCUUGCUUUCCUUAAAUAAGAUUAUUUAAAAACCUACCAUUGGCCAGGUGUGGUGGCUCAUGCCUGUUAUCCCAGCACCUUGGGAGGCUGAGGUGAGUGGGUCACGAAGUCAGGAGAUAGAGACCAUCCUGACCAAUAUGGUGAAAACCCGUCUCUACUGAAAAUACAAAAAUUAGCUGGCCAUGAUGGCACAUGCCCGUAGUUCCAGCUACUUGGGAGGCUGAGGUAGGAGAAUUGCUUGAGCUCGGGAGGCAGAGGUUGCAGUGAGCCGAGAUUGCACCACUGCACUCCAGCCUGGCGACAGAGUUAGACUCUGUCUCAAAAAUUAAAAUAAAAUAAAAGUCUACCAUUAAAGGCUGGAUGCAGUGGCUCAUGCCUAUAAACCAAGCACUUUGGGAGGUCCAGAUUGGAGGAUCAUUUGAGGCCAACAGUUUGACACUAGCCUGGUCAACAUAGCAAGACCCCCAUCUCUUAAAAGAAAAAAAAUAUUAUUACGUAUAUUUGCAAUAGUUAUUGUACCUGCUUCUUGUUAAGUUUAGGAAAUUCUCUUCUAUCCCUAAUUUGCCUGCAGUGUUUGUUAUGAAUGAGUGCUGUAUUUUCUAAAAUGUUCUUUCUGGGCCAGGCACAGUGACUCAUGCAGGUAAUCCCAGCACUUUGGGAGGCCAAGACGGGAGGAUCACUUGAUGCUGGGAGUAUAAGACCAGCCUGGGCAGAAUGGCAAGGCCCAGUCUCUACAAAAAAACAAAACAAAAAUUAGCUGGGCAUGGUAGUUUGCACCUAUAGUGUCCCAGCUUCUUGGGAGCUUGGGACAGAAGGAUCAUUUGGGCCCAAGAAGUGGAGGCUGCAAUGAGUCAGAACUGUGCCACUGAAUUCCAGCCUGGGCAACAGAGCAAGACUCUGGCUCAAAAAAAAAAAAUGUAUAUAUAUAUCUUUGGCUGGGCAUGGUGGCUUAACGCCUAUAAUUCCAACAAUUUGGGAGGAUUGCUUAAGUCCAGGAGUUCAAGACCAGCUUGGGCAACAUAGUGAGAACCCAUUUCUACUUAUAAGGAAAAAAAAGUGCCCUUUUAGCUCUCUGAGCAGCACCAUGGUGGUUGGCAAGAACAAGCGCCUUACGAAAGGUGGCAAACAGGGAGCCAAGAAGAAAGUGGUUGAUCCAUUUUCUAAGAAAGAUUGGUAUGAUGUGAAAGCACCCGCUAUGUUCAACAUAAGAAAUAUUGGAAAGACGCUAGUCACCAGGACCCAAGGAACCAAAAUUGCAUCUGAUGGCCUCAAGGGUCGAGUGUUUGAAGUUAGUCUUGCUGAUUUGCAGAAUGAUGAAGUUGCAUUUAGGAAAUUCAGGCUGAUUACUGAAGAUGUUCAGGGCAAAAACUGCCUGACUAACUUCCAUGGUAUGGAUCUGACCCGUGACAAAAUGUGUUCCAUGGUCAAAAAAAUGGCAGACAAUGAUUGAAGCUCAUGUUGAUGUCAAGACUACCGAUGGUUACUUGCUUCAUCUGUUCUGUGUUGGUUUUACUAAAAAACGCCACAAUCAGAUACAGAAGACCUCUCAUGCUCAGCACCAACAGGUCCGCCAAAUCCGGAAGAAGAUGAUGGAAAUCAUGACCCGAGAGGUGCAGACAAAUGACUUGAAAGAAGUGGUCAGUAAAUUGAUUCCAGACAGCAUUGGGAAAGACAUAGAACAGGCUUGCCAAUCUAUUUAUCCUCUCCAUGAUGUCUUCGUUAGAAAAGUAAAAAUGCUGAAGAAGCCCAAGUUUGAAUUGGGAAAACUCAUGGAGCUUCAUGGUGAAGGUAGUUCUGGAAAAGCCACUGGGGAUGAGACAGGUGCUAAAGUUGAACAAGCUGAUGGAUAUGAACCACCAGUCCAAGAAUCUGUUUAAAGUUCAGACUUACAAUAGUGGCAAAUAAAAUGUCUUAUUUGUG
This is a non-coding RNA of Callithrix jacchus (white-tufted-ear marmoset), 3799 nucleotides long. The record is from RefSeq and is a predicted model, not a curated record. Lineage: Eukaryota; Metazoa; Chordata; Mammalia; Primates; Cebidae.